GGUCAAGUUACUAAGAGCUGUUGGUGGAUGCCUUGGCAUCGAGAGGCGACGAAGGACGUGCUUACCUGCGAUAAGCUACGGGGAGCUGGAAAGAAGCUUUGAUCCGUAGAAUUCCGAAUGGGGAAACCCGGUGGGAGUAAACACCCAUCAUCCAUACCUGAAUACAUAGGGUAUGGCGGCGAUACCUGCCGAAGUGAGACAUCUAAGUAGGCAGAGGAAGAGAAAUCAAACGAGAUUCCCAUAGUAGCGGCGAGCGAAGUGGGAAGAGCCCAAACCGAGUGCUUGCACUCGGGGUUGUAGGGCCAGUCAACAAAGUUUAUGUGAGCUUUAGCAGAAUCUUCUGGAAAGUUGAGCGAUACAGGGUGAUAGCCCCGUAUGCGAAAAAGUUAGCAUAAACGAGAUUGGUACCUGAGUAGGGCCGGACACGUGAAACCCGGUCUGAAUCUGGGGGGACCACCCUCCAAGGCUAAAUACUCUUCGAUGACCGAUAGCGGACCAGUACCGUGAGGGAAAGGUGAAAAGAACCCCUGUUAGGGGAGUGAAAUAGAACCUGAAACCAGCAGCUUACAAACGGUCAGAGGCCUAUGUCCCUUUUAGGGAAAUGGCUGAUGGCGUGCCUUUUGCAUGAUGAGCCAGCGAGUUAAGUUAUACGGCAAGGUUAAGGGACAUACGUUCCGGAGCCGAAGCGAAAGCGAGUGUGAAUAGCGCAUCUAGUCGUAUGACUUAGACACGAAACCAAGUGAUCUACCUAUGACCAGGAUGAAGCAAGGGUAACACCUUGUGAAGGUCCGAACCAGUGCCUGUUGAAAAAGGCUUGGAUGAGUUGUGGGUAGGGGUGAAAGGCUAAUCAAACUUGGAGAUAUCUUGUUCUCUCCGAAAUAACUUUAGGGUUAGCCUCAGUGUAAUUCCUCUUAGGGGUAGAGCACUGGAUCCACAAGGGAGCCUACCGGCUUACCGAAGGGAACCAAACUCCGAAUACUAAGAGGUUCACUGGGAGAUAGACUGCGGGGGAUAAGCUUCGUAGUCAAAAGGGGAACAGCCCAGAUCGUCGAUUAAGGCCCUUAAUUCUAUGCUAAGUGAGUAAGGAGGUGAAGUUUCUUAGACAGUUGGGAUGUUGGCUUAGAGGCAGCCAUCAUUUAAAGAGUGCGUAACAGCUCACCAAUCGAGAGACUUCGCGCCGAAAAUAUUCGGGACUAAAGCAUAGAGCCGAAAUCACGGGUGCAUAUCUUUUAGAUAUGUGCGGUAGGAGAGCGUAGUAUGGGCGCUGAAGGUGUACCGUAAGGAGCACUGGAGCGCAUACUAGUGAAGAUGCAUGGCAUAAGUAACGAUAAAAGAAGUGAAAAUCUUCUUCGCCGUAAACCUAAGGUUUCCAGGGUAAAGCUCGUCUUCCCUGGGUUAGCCGGAGCCUAAGCCGAGGCAGAAAUGCGUAGGCGAUGGUAAGCAGGUUAAAUAUUCCUGCGCCGCCUAAAACUAUGACAAUGGGGUGACGAAGUAAGUUAAGUGCGCGGACCAUUGGAUGUGUCCGUAUCGCUAUGAGGUUGGUCAGUAGGCAAAUCCGCUGACGGGAUACCAGGUAGUGGUCAAGGGGAAUCUUCGGAGGAACCGAUGGCAUGGCGCGAUGCUUCCAAGAAAUAACCUCUAGUCGUUGAUGGCGUCCGUACCAAAACCGACACAGGUGGGUGGGAUGAAUAUUCUCAGGCGCGCGAGAGAACUCUUGUUAAGGAACUCUGCAAAUUAUCCCUGUAACUUCGGGAGAAGGGGAGCCGCAAACCGUGACACACUUCGCGUGUGAAGCGGGGGGCGGCCGAAGAGAAAUGGCCCAGGCGACUGUUUAACAAAAACACAGCACUAUGCAAACUCGUCUAAGAGAAAGUAUAUGGUGUGAUGCCUGCCCAAUGCCAGAAGGUCAAAAGGAGGUAUUAGUCGUAAGACGAAGUACUGAAUCUAAGCCCUGGUGAAUGGCGGCCGUAACUAUAACGGUCCUAAGGUAGCGAAAUUCCUUGUCGGGUAAGUUCCGACCUGCACGAAUGGCUCAACGAUCUGGGCACUGUCUCAACAAGAGACUCGGUGAAAUUGUAGUAGCAGUGAAGAUGCUGUUUACCCGCAACUAGACGGAAAGACCCCGUGAACCUUUACUGUACUCUGAUAUUGGCUCUCGACUUUUCAUGUGUAGGAUAGCCGGAAGACUUUGAUAGCGGUUCGUCAGGAUCGUUGGAGUCUCCCUUGAAAUACCGGUCUUGGAAAGUUGGGAAUCUAACGCUAGCCCAUGAAUCUGGGCAGCGGACAUUGUCAGACGGGCAGUUUGACUGGGGCGGUUUCCUCCUAAAGAGUAACGGAGGAGUCCAAAGCUUACCUCAUCGCGUAUGGCAAUCGCGAGUAGAGCGUAAAGGUAUAAGGUAAGUUAACUGCGAGACCUACAAGUCAAGCAGGUACGAAAGUAGGGCUUAGUGAUCCGGCGGUUGAAAGUGGAAUCGCCGUCGCUUAACGGAUAAAAGGUACUCCGGGGAUAACAGGCUUAUCGCCACCAAGAGUUCAUAUCGACGUGGCGGUUUGGCACCUCGAUGUCGACUCAUCGCAUCCUGGGGCUGGAGAAGGUCCCAAGGGUUUGGCUGUUCGCCAAUUAAAGCGGUACGCGAGUUGGGUUCAGAACGUCGUGAGACAGUUUGGUCCCUAUCUGUUGUGGGCGCAGGAUACCUGAGAAGAGCUGCUUCUAGUACGAGAGGACCGAAGUGGACGAACCAAUGGUGUGCCGGUUGUUCUACCAAGAGCAUCGCCGGGUAGCUACGUUCGGAAAGGAUAAGCGUUGAAAGCAUCUAAACGCCAAGCCUCCUUCAAGAUAAGGUAUCCCUAUGAGACCCCCAGAAGACUACUGGGUUAAUAGGUGAGGUGUGUAAGCACAGUAAUGUGUUGAGCUAACUCAUACUAAUCGGUCCAUUGACUUGAUCAU
This 2947-nucleotide ribosomal RNA is filed under the name Candidatus Sacchlamyda saccharinae. RNAcentral describes it as "23S ribosomal RNA". It matches the Rfam family "Bacterial large subunit ribosomal RNA". The record is from RNAcentral. Lineage: Bacteria; Pseudomonadati; Chlamydiota; Chlamydiia; Parachlamydiales; Candidatus Rhabdochlamydiaceae.